GUACUAGCGGCAGGCGGGCAGCGGCCGCCCCUCCCAGCCCACCAGCUGGCCACUAAAAGCUCCCGGUUGCCAAGGACUUCCUUCUUAAGGUUUUGAUCAAGUUAGAUGCACUGCUCAGAAGACAAAUGGCAUCACAGAACAAAUUUGAAAGAAGUUUCAGGAAAACAGCUGCAUUAGAAGACCAAGGGAUUUCCAGGAACAAGAUGAGAAGAGUAUUUUACUGUAUCAAACAUGUUCUUUAUUACAACUCGGGGCAACUAAAAACAGUCACUACAGCUGGUUACCAAUUAAGUCCCUACCAAAAAAAAGAAUAACCUUUAGAUCUCUCUUUAAUGAGGAUAAAAAUGUGUUUAUACUGA
This 359-nucleotide long non-coding RNA is filed under the name Mus pahari (shrew mouse). Its description in RNAcentral is "lncRNA (MGP_PahariEiJ_G0012456.1)". Lineage: Eukaryota; Metazoa; Chordata; Mammalia; Rodentia; Muridae. The record is from RNAcentral.